This 1083-nucleotide ribosomal RNA is filed under the name Escherichia coli. RNAcentral describes it as "partial 23S ribosomal RNA". It matches the Rfam family "Bacterial large subunit ribosomal RNA", at positions 372 to 1455 of the family's 2925-position model. The record is from RNAcentral. Lineage: Bacteria; Pseudomonadati; Pseudomonadota; Gammaproteobacteria; Enterobacterales; Enterobacteriaceae.
CCCGUACACAAAAAUGCACAUGCUGUGAGCUCGAUGAGUAGGGCGGGACACGUGGUAUCCUGUCUGAAUAUGGGGGGACCAUCCUCCAAGGCUAAAUACUCCUGACUGACCGAUAGUGAACCAGUACCGUGAGGGAAAGGCGAAAAGAACCCCGGCGAGGGGAGUGAAAAAGAACCUGAAACCGUGUACGUACAAGCAGUGGGAGCACAGAGCAAUCUGUGUGACUGCGUACCUUUUGUAUAAUGGGUCAGCGACUUAUAUUCUGUAGCAAGGUUAACCGAAUAGGGGAGCCGAAGGGAAACCGAGUCUUAACUGGGCGUUAAGUUGCAGGGUAUAGACCCGAAACCCGGUGAUCUAGCCAUGGGCAGGUUGAAGGUUGGGUAACACUAACUGGAGGACCGAACCGACUAAUGUUGAAAAAUUAGCGGAUGACUUGUGGCUGGGGGUGAAAGGCCAAUCAAACCGGGAGAUAGCUGGUUCUCCCCGAAAGCUAUUUAGGUAGCGCCUCGUGAAUUCAUCUCCGGGGGUAGAGCACUGUUUCGGCAAGGGGGUCAUCCCGACUUACCAACCCGAUGCAAACUGCGAAUACCGGAGAAUGUUAUCACGGGAGACACACGGCGGGUGCUAACGUCCGUCGUGAAGAGGGAAACAACCCAGACCGCCAGCUAAGGUCCCAAAGUCAUGGUUAAGUGGGAAACGAUGUGGGAAGGCCCAGACAGCCAGGAUGUUGGCUUAGAAGCAGCCAUCAUUUAAAGAAAGCGUAAUAGCUCACUGGUCGAGUCGGCCUGCGCGGAAGAUGUAACGGGGCUAAACCAUGCACCGAAGCUGCGGCAGCGACGCUUAUGCGUUGUUGGGUAGGGGAGCGUUCUGUAAGCCUGCGAAGGUGUGCUGUGAGGCAUGCUGGAGGUAUCAGAAGUGCGAAUGCUGACAUAAGUAACGAUAAAGCGGGUGAAAAGCCCGCUCGCCGGAAGACCAAGGGUUCCUGUCCAACGUUAAUCGGGGCAGGGUGAGUCGACCCCUAAGGCGAGGCCGAAAGGCGUAGUCGAUGGGAAACAGGUUAAUAUUCCUGUACUUGGUGUUACU